GUGAUUCACUUUAGCGUGGUUGGUUUGUAAAAUCUGUUUCAUUGCAUUUAUUUGGAAAAUCGUUUACAAACUACAAUGUUAAAUAUUGAAAUGUAUGCUGCUGUUCAGACUGCAAUUUCGCAAGAGAAUGAUAAAUCUCUGAAUGAAUUGAAAUUGCGUUUGAAUGAGGAAUAUUUUGGGGCGACUAAAAUGCCGAGAGCGGAAUUCUUAUCAUUGCUUUUGAAAGGCGAAACAUCAUUGAGCAGAGAGUUCUCAGCAGAAAUUUAUAUCCCCAAAAUCGUGCGUAAGCAACACGAGGACAAAGGAAAUGUAUGCAUGGCCUUAAGAUCAGAAGUAUCUGGCAACUGUCUCUACAGUUCAGUGUCAUUGCUUUUGGCAGGUGAUAACAGUUUAUUGCAUAUUUUGAGGCAGUUAACAUCACUUGAGCUGUUUUUGAAUGCGACUUUUUACUGCCAACAUCCUUUAUUUUCCUCAAUUGUUGAACAGCAUAAAGAAUUCAACAACACCUCAAAGAAUAUUUUACCUUUGACAGUAUCUCAAGACUGUCUAGAUUCUGGUUUUGUAGGUGUUGAUCUUUUCAAUAAGGAGGCCUUUUUGAAUUGUCAUGACCAAAAGUGGUCAUCGUUUCUAUGCAUUCUAGCUCUUUCUUCUGUGUUGGAGACAAAAAUUUUUACCUACUACCCAGAUUGUGGAGAGAGCCGGCCUAAAUCAAUAUUCAACUCUCUGGUUUGUCCAAGAAGAAUAGUUAAAGAAUCAGCCAAUGCAAUUUAUCUUUUGUUUUGUUAUAAAGGGGUAGUUAAAUCAGAUCAAUGUUUCCAACCUAAUCAAUUUGUUCCUCUAGUUUUUUUUCCUAGCAAAACUAAAAGGACAAUUUCUGGUCCAACAUGCCCAGUGCCUUCAAAAAAAGCAAAAGCAGGAAAAAAGUCUGGGAAUAUCAGUAACUUGUUUUCAAAAAUGGAAAAACCAGAAAUCAUUACAAGUGAGGUUUCUUGUACUAGGGUUUCUGAACAAACCAUUGAAGAUUUACCGGAAAAGCCUAACUUUAGUCACAAUUUUGAUGUAGCUACCUACUACGAAAGAGCUAAAGGCUUGGCAUUGGAUUACGAGGUCAUCGUGAUGAUGCUCAAUUUCACCCAGAGGUACACUACCAAUCACCUCAUGUGAAUGUGAGAGAUCAAUUUCAGCACUGAGGAAUCUAAAAACCUACCAAAGGAGCACUAUGGUAGAGGAAAGUUUAAAUGGCCUGGCUUUAAUGCGAAUUCACCCAGAAAUUACUCCUGACAUAGAAAGAGUGAUCAAUAAGUUUGCUGAAGAUCCGCCCCUGCUAGAGGAGAUGACGGAACUGAUGGGACCAAUGGAAGCGAUGGUGUGCCCGGGGCCACAGGAGCCACAGGGCAUUAGAGGUCUAGCAGGUCCUAAAGGAGUGCCGGGGUCUAUAGGGGCCGCAGGAGCCACAGGGCCUAAAGGAGAUACUGGAGCCACAGGGCCUCAGGGGCCUUCAGGACGUCAAGGACCUCAAGGACAACCAGGAGCUGAUGGGCUUAAAGGAGACCAAGGAGAUCAACCUGUUUUGAACUCUCCUAAUGGCUUUUAUCCCCCAGGUAUGAGCGGAGUAAAUGUAAUUUUAGUAACGUUUCCUACUGGAAAAACACUCGAAAAUAAUAAAAUAGCAUUAUUAAACAUUUGGUUUGAACGGUCUCCACACGAGUGGUUCAACAUUAGAUCUACUGUGUUUGAACAAAGUUGGGGGCCUUGUGUUAGUUUCGUACAUGAUACCACUAACAAAUUGAUGUCAUAUGUUAGUACAAUACCCAUUAACUGGACGCGAAGAUAUCAGGAACACUAUUUAGAGUAUUCUUAAUUCUAAAACAAUAAAUUUUUAUAAUAUAUGUAGAA
Molecule: RNA transcript, 1896 nt
Organism: Xenia sp. Carnegie-2017
Lineage: Eukaryota; Metazoa; Cnidaria; Anthozoa; Malacalcyonacea; Xeniidae
Gene name: collagen alpha-1(I) chain-like
Exons: 5
Source: RefSeq, a predicted model, not a curated record